This 392-nucleotide ribosomal RNA is filed under the name uncultured bacterium. RNAcentral describes it as "bacterial SSU rRNA". It matches the Rfam family "Bacterial small subunit ribosomal RNA", at positions 413 to 796 of the family's 1533-position model. The record is from RNAcentral.
GGCCUUCGGGUUGUAAACUGCUUUUGUACGGAACGAAAAGGCCCUGGUGAACAACCGGGGUUGCUUGACGGUACCGUAAGAAUAAGCACCGGCUAACUACGUGCCAGCAACCGCGGUAAUACGUAGGGUGCGAGCGUUAAUCGGAAUUACUGGGCGUAAAGCGUGCGCAGGCGGACAUGCAAGACAGAUGUGAAAUCCCCGGGCUCAACCUGGGAACUGCAUAUGUGACUGUAUGACUGGAGUACGGCAGAGGGGGAUGGAAUUCCGCGUGUAGCAGUGAAAUGCGUAGAUAUGCGGAGGAACACCGAUGGCGAAGGCAAUCCCCUGGGCCAGUACUGACGCUCAUGCACGAAAGCGUGGGGAGCAAACAGGAUUAGAUACCCUGGUAGUCC